UCUCCGUUGGUGAACCAGCGGAGGGAUCAUUACUGGAAUCGCAAGAUCCCACAACCCCUGUGAACCUACCGAAACGUUGCCUCGGCGGGGGCCCGGCCCUGCGCCGGGCGCUGAACCCGCCGGCGGCCCCCUACUCUUGUCUCCGCAGCGUGGCAUAUCAGAGUCCCAGAAAACAAGUAAAAACUUUCAGCAACGGAUCUCUUGGCUCUA
This 210-nucleotide unclassified non-coding RNA is filed under the name plant metagenome. RNAcentral's name for it is "partial contains small subunit ribosomal RNA, internal transcribed spacer 1, and 5.8S ribosomal RNA". The record is from RNAcentral.